GUGCAGCCUAAAGUGGGUGAUAAACUUCAUCUAAGGCUAAAUAUCGACUCGAUUGCGAUAGCGAACAAGUACCGUGAGGGAAAGUUGCAAAGGACUUUGAAGAGAGAGUUCAAGAGAACGUGAAAUCGCUGGAGUGGAACCGGAGACAGUUGAUGUUGCUUGGAGACAAGUUUGGUGACGCGUCGCUUAGUUGUGAUCGUUGCCGGAUGUCGUUUCCUAUGCUACGCCGACGGCGUUGGUCGCUCGUUCUGGCCCGAUAAUGUUGCCCAGCUCGCAAGAGUCGGUGUCUUGUUGUCGGUCGUCGGUUCGUGGUGGCUAGCGUUUAGUUACGCUAGUGUGUGUGACGUCGGUGUGAAAGUCAACGACGUUUCCGACCCGUCUUGAAACACGGAUUGCGGAGUGCUUGUCUACUGCGAGUCAAAGGGUGUUAAAACCUUGCGGCGAAAUGAAAGUGAAGGUCAGUCUCGAAUUGGCCGACGUGGGAUCUGUGCUCUUCGGAGUGCUGCGCACCACGGCCCUAUGCGUGUCACUUGUGACUGUGUAGAGGUUGAGCAGUUGGCAAACGACCCGAAAGAUGGUGAACUAUGCCUGAGCAGGAUGAAGCCAGAGGAAACUCUGGUGGAAGUCCGUAUCGGUUCUGACGUGCAAAUCGAUCGAUAGACUUGGGUAUAGGGGCGAAAGACUAAUCGAACCAUCUAGUAGCUGGUUCCUUCCGAAGUUUCCCUCAGGAUAGCUGGAUCUCUGGCAGUUAUAUUCGGUAAAGCUAAUGAUUAGAGGCCUUGGGGGCGUAAUGCCCUCAACCUAUUCUCAAACUUUCAAUGGAUAUGAAGUUGCAGUUUCUUCAGUGAACUGACAACGUGAAUGCGAGGUCCAAGUGGGCCAUUUUUGGUAAGCAGAACUGGCGCUGUGGGAUGAACCAAACGUGGAGUUAAGGUGCCUAACUUCUCGCUCAUGAGACCCCAUAAAAGGUGUUGGUUGAUAUUGACAGCA
RNAcentral lists this ribosomal RNA (990 nucleotides) under Georissa bangueyensis. RNAcentral's name for it is "eukaryotic LSU rRNA". It matches the Rfam family "Eukaryotic large subunit ribosomal RNA", at positions 280 to 1242 of the family's 3401-position model. The record is from RNAcentral. Lineage: Eukaryota; Metazoa; Mollusca; Gastropoda; Cycloneritida; Hydrocenidae.